UAAUGGGUCAGCGACUUAUAUUCAGUGGCAAGGUUAACCAUCUAGGGGAGCCGUAGGGAAACCGAGUCUUAACUGGGCGUUCAGUCUCUGGAUAUAGACCCGAAACCAGGUGAUCUAGCCAUGGGCAGGUUGAAGGUUGAGUAACAUCAACUGGAGGACCGAACCGACUAAUGUUGAAAAAUUAGCGGAUGACUUGUGGCUAGGGGUGAAAGGCCAAUCAAACCUGGAGAUAGCUGGUUCUCCCCGAAAGCUAUUUAGGUAGCGCCUCGGACGAAUACUACUGGGGGUAGAGCACUGUUAAGGCUAGGGGGUCAUCCCGACUUACCAACCCUUUGCAAACUCCGAAUACCAGUAAGUACUAUCCGGGAGACACACGGCGGGUGCUAACGUCCGUCGUGGAGAGGGAAACAACCCAGACCGCCAGCUAAGGUCCCAAAUUACUACUAAGUGGGAAACGAUGUGGGAAGGCUCAGACAGCCAGGAUGUUGGCUUAGAAGCAGCCAUCAUUUAAAGAAAGCGUAAUAGCUCACUGGUCGAGUCGGCCUGCGCGGAAGAUGUAACGGGGCUAAGUAGUAAACCGAAGCUGCGGCAAUGUGCUUUUGCACAUUGGGUAGGGGAGCGUUCUGUAAGCGGUUGAAGGUGUGUGGUAACGCAUGCUGGACGUAUCAGAAGUGCGAAUGCUGACAUGAGUAACGAUAAAGGGGGUGAAAAACCUCCUCGCCGGAAGACCAAGGGUUCCUGUCCAACGUUAAUCGGGGCAGGGUAAGUCGACCCCUAAGGCGAGGCCGAAAGGCGUAGUCGAUGGGAAACGGGUUAAUAUUCCCGUACUUCUUACAAUUGCGAUGGGGGGACGGAGAAGGCUAGGUGGGCCUGGCGACGGUUGUCCAGGUUCAAGUGCGUAGGCUUAAGAGUUAGGUAAAUCCGGCUCUUUUUAAGGCUGAGACACGACGUCGAGCACCUACGGGUGUGAAGUCAUUGAUGCCAUGCUUCCAGGAAAAGCCUCUAAGCUUCAGAUUGUAAGGAAUCGUACCCCAAACCGACACAGGUGGUCGGGUAGAGAAUACCAAGGCGCUUGAGAGAACUCGGGUGAAGGAACUAGGCAAAAUGGUACCGUAA
This 1116-nucleotide ribosomal RNA is filed under the name Vibrio parahaemolyticus. RNAcentral's name for it is "partial 23S ribosomal RNA". It matches the Rfam family "Bacterial large subunit ribosomal RNA", at positions 613 to 1733 of the family's 2925-position model. The record is from RNAcentral. Lineage: Bacteria; Pseudomonadati; Pseudomonadota; Gammaproteobacteria; Vibrionales; Vibrionaceae.